RNAcentral lists this long non-coding RNA (328 nucleotides) under Elaeis guineensis (African oil palm). RNAcentral's name for it is "long non-coding RNA (EGUI_LNC068213)". The record is from RNAcentral. Lineage: Eukaryota; Viridiplantae; Streptophyta; Magnoliopsida; Arecales; Arecaceae.
GGCGUAAGCUGCUGCUCUUAUACCUUAGGAUCUGAGGGUGUCCAGCUUAUGUCAAGUAUUUAAAGAUAGACAAGCUUGGACCUAAAUCCAAUAGAUGCUUGACCGUAGGGCAUCCAAAGAAAAUUAAAGGGUACUACUUCUACCUCACUGCAGAACAAAGGUGUUUGUCAGCAGUCGGGCAGUCUUUUUGGAAAAGAAGUUUCUUGAUAAAGGAGCUAAUGCGUGCAAAAUUAAACUUGAUGAAGUUCAUGAGGUGGAAGGAUUGACACACACAGAAUUGGAUUUGAUUGGUGAAUCAAAUUUGGACCCAAUAGAGAUGCCAUUAAGG